CGUGUAGGCGGUUGGUCAAGUCUGGUGUGAAAGCCCGGGGCUUAACCCCGGAAGUGCACUGGAAACUAGCCAGCUAGAGCGCGAGAGAGGAGGGUGGAAUUCCUGGUGUAGCGGUGAAAUGCGUAGAUAUCAGGAGGGAACACCGGCGGCGAAGGCGGCCCUCUGGCUCGUUGCUGACGCUGAAACGCGAAAGCGUGGGGAGCAAACAGGGAUUAGAUACCCUGGUAGUCCACGCUGUAAACGAUGGGUACUAGGUGUUCGGGGUAUUGACCCCCUGAGUGCCGACGCUAACGCAUUAAGUACCCCGCCUGGGGACUACGGCCGCAAGGUUAAA
Molecule: ribosomal RNA, 334 nt
Filed under: uncultured bacterium
Lineage: Bacteria
Description: bacterial SSU rRNA
Rfam family: Bacterial small subunit ribosomal RNA
Source: RNAcentral